CUGGGAACGCCCACUCGCCGGCCCAGGACAGUUGUGGCACUUCUAAGCCUCACACUGCUUUCACAGGACCCAUUCCGAAUACCCUGUCGCGGAGAUAUCACAGGCGCUCCCCCGGCCCCCAAACACACAUCUCCUCGAUGGGAAUGGGAGCCUCAGGAAGCAGUGUGAGGCCCCGGCCGGCGACAGAAGUCCUGGCGCGACGGGACGACGCCAUUUUUGUUACUGGUAGAGCUCAGCUUCGCGGUUGUUUCUGAGCUUGCGAAAGAUUAAGUUCCCGCGUCAUCCAGACCUACCCAGGAGGGCUGCCAGGGAAAGGUCCUUUCGGGGAAUCGUAAACCCAUUUGGGCCAGCGAGGAGCCACGUCCGCCCGGAGAAGGAGUUUUGGGUCCUGAGAGCAGAGCUGGGCCAUUGAAGAAUGGUUAACCUAGCUUGAUCUCCGGAAGACUCUUCUGCACCCCAACUUGUCCCCAGUUGCUUUCAAAAGAGAAAUAGAAAAUGACGCUCAGGGCCAAUUUGACUUCAUCUUCUGAUUCAAGUUCAACAGAAGCCUCGCCACUUGGUCUGCCUUCUCUUGUGUAUAUGAAACGAAUACCUUGAGACCCAUUGUGAAUUUUGCAGUCAGAAAAAAGCCGCUGCACUUCAUCCGCCGAGCAAGACCAGGG
This is a non-coding RNA of Microcebus murinus (gray mouse lemur), 662 nucleotides long. NCBI's taxonomy places the organism in Eukaryota, Metazoa, Chordata, Mammalia, Primates, Cheirogaleidae. The record is from RefSeq and is a predicted model, not a curated record.